CCCUAUUAUUUAAGAGCUGAAUAUUGUUAGUAUAUAAAGAUUAUGAAAGCAAAAAGUUAUGGCGGUAUUUUAAGCUUUUCAGAGGAAUUUGCUCUUUAAUGGAUAAAACACCAAAAUCUUACUUAAAUUUGUCAAAUCAACUUGUAUACCACUAUUAAAACAAUUAUUAACUCUAAUUGUUAAUAUUUAAAGUUUUAUAAUUAAUUAAAAUUAAGUCAAGGUGCAGUAAAAAUUUAAGAAUGAAGUGAAUUACAUUACUUUUAAGGGAAAUAAAAUUAAAUAAAAAUUAGGAUUUGAAAGUAAAAUUAAAAUAGAAUGUUAAUUUGAAUUAAGCUCUAAAAUAUGUACAUAUCGCCCGUCACUCUUUUUUAA
Molecule: ribosomal RNA, 372 nt
Filed under: Rhipicephalus zambeziensis
Lineage: Eukaryota; Metazoa; Arthropoda; Arachnida; Ixodida; Ixodidae
Description: partial 12S ribosomal RNA
Source: RNAcentral